UCCUGGCUCAGGAUGAACGCUAGCGACAGGCCUAACACAUGCAAGUCGAGGGGCAGCGGGAUUGAAGCUUGCUUAAUUGCCGGCGACCGGCGCACGGGUGCGUAACAGGUGUGCAAUCUGUCCAUAGUCGGGGAAUAGCCCAGCGAAAGUUGGAUUAAUGCUCCAUGUGUCACGAAGCCGCAUGACUUUGUGAUGAAACGUAAGGACUAUGGGUGAGCACGCUUCUGAUUAGAUAGUUGGUGGGGUAACGGCUCACCAAGUCGACGAUCAGUAGGGGUUCUGAGAGGAAGGUCCCCCACAUUGGAACUGAGACACGGUCCAAACUCCUACGGGAGGCAGCAGUGAGGAAUAUUGGUCAAUGGGCGAGAGCCUGAACCAGCCAAGUCGCGUGAAGGAUGAAGGUUCUAUGGAUUGUAAACUUCUUUUGUCCGAGGGUAAAAAAGGUCACGUGUGGCUUCUUGCAAGUAUCGGACGAAUAAGCAUCGGCUAACUCCGUGCCAGCCGCUGC
RNAcentral lists this ribosomal RNA (508 nucleotides) under uncultured bacterium. RNAcentral's name for it is "bacterial SSU rRNA". It matches the Rfam family "Bacterial small subunit ribosomal RNA", at positions 17 to 518 of the family's 1533-position model. The record is from RNAcentral.